AGGAUCUGUAUCCUUCCUCAAGGCAGGGAAAUAGCCACUCUGGCUCUAGAAAGAGCAGGAAAAGCACAGAUAACUUGUUAAGAUUUUGGAGGCCAUUUUAUAAAUCAAAUCAUGAAAAGCAUAGAUUGCUGUCAAAUCUUCCUGUCAUGAUCCGUGGAUGAACAAAAGAACCACUCGUUCGUUGAUAUUCCACUUGUGUGCACCAGGUGGCAGUGCUAUCACCAGUUUGUACAUAUUUUCCAUUGAACUGUGCAUACUCCAUCAGAUUAGCUCAUCCUGGGUGCUUGAGCCCACUCAUCAGCAAAUAUAAUGUCCUCUAUAUUGCACUAAUAUAUUGUCCUUCUGUUUUGUCUUUUGGGCACUUAUUGUGGAUGGCACUUGUUUGUUUACGGCCUUUGUGAAGGAGGAGGUUGGUUACUAGCUGUGGCUCAUCCAUUCGCUGUCUGGUGUUCUGGAACUUUUGCAAUUACUGUUUAUAGUUAUUCAUUUCAUGUGUGCGACACUUUAAUGCCAGGAGAAGCCAAGAAGCCCUCAGGCUCCCCUGCUCCUGCAACUCCAAUCACUGUCCCAGGAAUGCUCAUGGAAUAACUUGGUUUACUUCUGUUCUUCAGCACAGUGUGUUGCAGGCCUCUCUUCAAACACUUGUCACAGCCCUAUGUCCCUGCUACGUAAUAAUACACAGAAAGGAAUUCAGGAGACAUUGGAGCAACUAAAGAAACAGCAGCACUCCCCAAUAUUGGGAAUUAGCUCCCCACAGAUGGACAGUGGUCAUCAGCCAUUCCUGUCUUCCUUCCUCCAUUGCAGAAAAGAAUUAAAAACCAACCAACCAGCAAAGGCUCAUUCAACAGGCUCCUUGUGGAUAAAAUAUCCUGUCUUUUGAGAGACACUGUUUUACUAGUUUGCUCUAGCAAUGAGAGUUUGAAAAACUAGAAAAAUAUGGCUGCUCUAGGCUAACAGCUGGUUCCCAUAGUACCAUGGCUUAGGUCAGACAAAGGGCACAUAUGAAAAACAGCUAAUGUUCAAGGGUAUCCCUACAGCAAGCAAAGGGGACACAACUUCCACCUAAACAUAGCAGAAAAGCAGUUACACCAAGUAGAGUGAGGAUACCAAAAAAAAAACAACCCCAAAACAUUUGAAAAUACAAUCACUGAAUGAGACCCUGAUAAAUAUAGGUUUUCUAGGCAAGCAGAAUGAAGUAAUCCGUAUGCAGAAGGGGUUUGUUCAAAACUCAAUAUUACCUUAAGGGCAGAUUUUCCAAGGCACAAAUGACAGACAUCUAAUAUUCCACAGACUUUCAAUGGCAUUUAGGUGCCUAACUGCUACCUGUGCCUUGGAAAAUCUCCUAAGUAUUGUGGGCAUCUUUAAACCAAAUUUACAAAACAUACUUCCAUUAAAAAGCAAAUUUUUUUUUGCUAGAUUAAUUGAAUACCAUAGAAUUUAUGGAAACCCUCGUAUUGCACUUCUCAAUAGGGAGGAUUGUGAAAAAUGUGCCUUUAUAUUCAUCUGAGGAGCUGAACAGUAUCUUAUUGCAGUUAGACUGAAACAGGGAGUUUUAGUAGCUUCUCUCUCAACUUCCCUGGGCAAGGCUCUCCUUUCUGUAGAGAGCUCUUCCGAAUCUUGCUUUGCCUUGAAUUCCCUUUGGAUUGAGCUUUUCUAACGGUUCAACAAUGUACCCAAUAAAAAGUCCCUCAGUCACACUGCGUGGUCUAGUUGUCUUUUCAUGUAACCACCAGCCUUUGCUUCUCAUUCUGAACAGUACUGAUUUUAACAGAAUGGGAUUUGUAUGUACCCCAUCUUUUGUUGGUGUUCCG
This is a long non-coding RNA of Chelonia mydas (Green sea turtle), 1811 nucleotides long. RefSeq lists it as uncharacterized. The transcript has 3 exons. Lineage: Eukaryota; Metazoa; Chordata; Testudines; Cheloniidae. The record is from RefSeq and is a predicted model, not a curated record.